GCUGGGCGUGGUGGCACACACCUGUAAUGCCAGCACCUCAGUAGGCUGAGGCAGGAGGAUUGCAAGUUUGAGACCAGCCUCAGCAAUUUACUGAGGCCCUAAGCAAGUUAGCAAGACCCUGUCUCAA
This 127-nucleotide small RNA is filed under the name Marmota monax (woodchuck). Lineage: Eukaryota; Metazoa; Chordata; Mammalia; Rodentia; Sciuridae. The record is from RNAcentral.